UGGGGAAUAUUGCACAAUGGGCGCAAGCCUGAUGCAGCCAUGCCGCGUGUAUGAAGAAGGCCUUCGGGUUGUAAAGUACUUUCAGCGGGGAGGAAGGGAGUAAAGUUAAUACCUUUGCUCAUUGACGUUACCCGCAGAAGAAGCACCGGCUAACUCCGUGCCAGCAGCCGCGGUAAUACGGAGGGUGCAAGCGUUAAUCGGAAUUACUGGGCGUAAAGCGCACGCAGGCGGUUGAUUGAGUCAGAUGUGAAAUCCCCGGGCUUAACCCGGGAAUUGCAUCUGAUACUGGUCAGCUAGAGUCUUGUAGAGGGGGGUAGAAUUCCAUGUGUGGCGGUGAAAUGCGUAGAGAUGUGGAGGAAUACCGGUGGCGAAGGCGGCCCCCUGGACAAAGACUGACGCUCAGGUGCGAAAGCGUGGGGAGCAAACAGG
Molecule: ribosomal RNA, 429 nt
Filed under: Chloroflexota bacterium
Lineage: Bacteria; Bacillati; Chloroflexota
Description: Chloroflexi bacterium partial 16S ribosomal RNA
Rfam family: Bacterial small subunit ribosomal RNA
Source: RNAcentral